UAGGGAAUCUUCCGCAAUGGGCGAAAGCCUGACGGAGCAACGCCGCGUGAGUGAUGAAGGUCUUCGGAUCGUAAAACUCUGUUAUUAGGGAAGAACAAAUGUGUAAGUAACUAUGCACGUCUUGACGGUACCUAAUCAGAAAGCCACGGCUAACUACGUGCCAGCAGCCGCGGUAAUACGUAGGUGGCAAGCGUUAUCCGGAAUUAUUGGGCGUAAAGCGCGCGUAGGCGGUUUUUUAAGUCUGAUGUGAAAGCCCACGGCUCAACCGUGGAGGGUCAUUGGAAACUGGAAAACUUGAGUGCAGAAGAGGAAAGUGGAAUUCCAUGUGUAGCGGUGAAAUGCGCAGAGAUAUGGAGGAACACCAGUGGCGAAGGCGACUUUCUGGUCUGUAACUGACUCUGAUGUGCGAAAGCGUGGGGAUCAAACAGG
RNAcentral lists this ribosomal RNA (429 nucleotides) under Actinomycetes bacterium. Its description in RNAcentral is "Actinobacteria bacterium partial 16S ribosomal RNA". It matches the Rfam family "Bacterial small subunit ribosomal RNA", at positions 355 to 776 of the family's 1533-position model. The record is from RNAcentral. Lineage: Bacteria; Bacillati; Actinomycetota; Actinomycetes.